This 503-nucleotide ribosomal RNA is filed under the name uncultured bacterium. RNAcentral describes it as "partial 16S ribosomal RNA". It matches the Rfam family "Bacterial small subunit ribosomal RNA", at positions 30 to 523 of the family's 1533-position model. The record is from RNAcentral.
AUUGAACGCUGGCGGCAGGCUUAACACAUGCAAGUCGAGCGGGGUGAUGGUGCUUGCACUAUCACUUAGCGGCGGACGGGUGAGUAAUGCUUAGGAAUCUGCCUAUUAGUGGGGGACAACAUCUCGAAAGGGAUGCUAAUACCGCAUACGUCCUACGGGAGAAAGCAGGGGAUCACUUGUGACCUUGCGCUAAUAGAUGAGCCUAAGUCGGGUUAGCUAGUUGGUGGGGUAAAGGCCUACCAAGGCGACGAUCUGUAGCGGGUCUGGGAGGAUGAGCCGCCCGACUGGGACUGAGACACGGCCCAGACUCCUACGGGAGGCAGCAGUGGGGAAUAUUGGACAAUGGGGGGAACCCUGAUCCAGCCAUGCCGCGUGUGUGAAGAAGGCCUUAUGGUUGUAAAGCACUUUAAGCGAGGAGGAGGCUCUUUUGGUUAAUACCCAAGAUGAGUGGACGUUACUCGCAGAAUAAGCACCGGCUAACUCUGUGCCAGCCGCCGCGGUAA